GGGACGAUCUGCCUUUGCUUCUCCCAGAGUUUGACUGUUCGAAACUGAAUGUGUGGUUGGCUUUUAGUCACCCAGCAAAUGUGAAUUCUGGUGGGAGCUGGGCUUCUGGCUGGGGUUCCCCCCUUGCCCCGUGCAGAGCCGAGGUGAUACGCCCCGUCUUCCUGCCUGGGGAGCAGUUGCGCUCUGCCCUCUGGGGAGGGUAUCUGCCUUCUCUGCCUUUUAUGGGCGUUUCUGAUGCCCUCCCGUUCCUGGUGUGUGUGACCUAUUAACAUGCAGUGAAUACAAAGCUGAGCAUUCCAUAGAGAAGUGGGUCAUUUUGCAGAAAAAGAUAGCGGAUUAGCAAGGAUUCAGAAUUGUGGCUGUGCCUGGCUGACAGCCUUGGGAAACAGGCUCUGUCCUCGCACGAUGGACUUGCCUCUGACAAAGCUGCACCUCUCCCCAAUGGACAUAAGGUGGUGACACCCCAGGGCCUGGGUGUCACAGCGGACAAGCAGAGUGGCCGUGAAGGGGAGCGGUUGGGCCAGCCAGCAGAGCCACACCCAGUGGAACAGUGUAGGUGCGACAGACGUCCGGCAGGGCUCCAAGGCCUGCGGUGGCUCAGGGCGUCUGCGACAUGCGAAAGAGAGUCUGUGCUGCCACCACUUGGGAGUAAAGUAACGGGAGCUAACUGUGUGCACACACUCUUCUGUCCUUCAUCUGCCUGUCCGGAGGGAGAGAGAGCGAGAGGCUCAGGAAAAGGGGGGAAGGGAGCCCACGGCCGUGCUGUGGUGCCCGUCAGGGCACAGUGAGUUCUCUGAGCAUCUUCUUCAUGCUUUGACUUUUGAACCAUGUACUUGUGUUUCAUAUUCAGAAGAUAAAAUUAAGCCCAUAAAGACAAAAAAACCUAAAAUUGAAUUCAAAUGAACUGAUGAACCUAAAUAAACUGGUAGCGUUUACUUAU
This is a long non-coding RNA of Manis javanica (Malayan pangolin), 940 nucleotides long. RefSeq lists it as uncharacterized. NCBI's taxonomy places the organism in Eukaryota, Metazoa, Chordata, Mammalia, Pholidota, Manidae. The record is from RefSeq and is a predicted model, not a curated record.